This 406-nucleotide ribosomal RNA is filed under the name uncultured bacterium. RNAcentral's name for it is "partial 16S ribosomal RNA". It matches the Rfam family "Bacterial small subunit ribosomal RNA", at positions 30 to 526 of the family's 1533-position model. The record is from RNAcentral.
AUUGAACGCUGGCGGCAGGCCUAACACAUGCAAGUCGAGCGAGCGGCGGACGGGUGAGUAAUGUCUGGGAAACUGCCUGAUGGAGGGGGAUAACUACUGGAAACGGUAGCUCAUAGCGCCUACCAUCAGAUGAGCCCAGAUGGGAUUAGCUAGUAGGUGGGGUAACGGCUCACCUAGGCGACGAUCCGUAACUGGUCUGAGAGGAUGAUCAGGCACACUGGAAAGGAGACACGGUCCAGACUGCUACGGGAGGCAGCAGUGGGGAAUAUUGGACAAUGGGCGAAAGACUGAUCCAGCCAUGCCGCGUGUGUGAAGAAGGUCUGCGGAUUGUAAAGCACUUUAUGUUGGGAGGCGUUACCAACAGAAUAAGCACCGGCUAACUUCGUGCCAGCAGCCGCGGUAAUAC